GCCAGGUGCGGUGGCACGUGCCUGUGGUCCCAGCUACUCGGGAGACUGAGGUGGGAGGAUCGCUUGAGCCCAGGAGUUCUGGGCUGUAGUGCGCUAUGUGGAUUGGGCAUCCACGUUAAGUUCAGCAUCAAUAUGGUGACCUCUCAGGAGUGGGGGACCACCAGAUUGCCUAAGGAGGGGUGAACCGGCCCAGGUCAGAAACGGAGCAGGUCAAAACUCCUGUGCUGAUUAGUAGUGGGAUCACACCUGUGAAUAGCCACUGCAAUGCAGCCUGGGCCUGGGCAACAUAGUGAGACCUAUCCUCU
RNAcentral lists this signal recognition particle RNA (305 nucleotides) under Cebus imitator (Panamanian white-faced capuchin). RNAcentral describes it as "Metazoan signal recognition particle RNA (ENSCCAG00000009652.1)". It matches the Rfam family "Metazoan signal recognition particle RNA". Rfam says of the family: The signal recognition particle (SRP) is a universally conserved ribonucleoprotein. It is involved in the co-translational targeting of proteins to membranes. The record is from RNAcentral. Lineage: Eukaryota; Metazoa; Chordata; Mammalia; Primates; Cebidae.